GUGUCAGCAGCCGCGGUAAUACGUAGGGGGCAAGCGUUGUCCGGAUUUAUUGGGCGUAAAGAGCUCGUAGGCGGUUCCGUAAGUCGUGAAGUCAAAUCUCUGGGCUCAACCCAGAAUCGCUUCCGAUACUGCGGUGACUGGAGUCCGGUAGGGGAGUGUGGAAUUCCUGGUGUAGCGGUGAAAUGCGCAGAUAUCAGGAGGAACACCAACAGCGAAGGCAGCACUCUGGGCCGGUACUGACGCUGAGGAGCGAAAGCAUGGGGAGCGAACAGGAUUAGAUACCCGAGUAGUCC
This 293-nucleotide ribosomal RNA is filed under the name uncultured bacterium. RNAcentral describes it as "partial 16S ribosomal RNA". It matches the Rfam family "Bacterial small subunit ribosomal RNA", at positions 505 to 796 of the family's 1533-position model. The record is from RNAcentral.